This 494-nucleotide ribosomal RNA is filed under the name uncultured bacterium. Its description in RNAcentral is "partial 16S ribosomal RNA". It matches the Rfam family "Bacterial small subunit ribosomal RNA", at positions 28 to 507 of the family's 1533-position model. The record is from RNAcentral.
GACGAACGCUGGCGGCGUGCUUAACACAUGCAAGUCGAACGGUGAAGCGCCUUCCUUUUUGGUGGGUGUGGAUGAGUGGCGAACGGGUGAGUAACACGUGAGUAACCUGCCCCCUUCUUCUGGAUAACCGCAUGAAAGUGUGGCUAAUACGGGAUAUUCUGGGUCUGUCGCAUGAUGGGUCUGGGAAAGAUAUUGUUUCGGUGGGGGAUGGGCUCGCGGCCUAUCAGCUUGUUGGUGGGGUGAUGGCCUACCAAGGCGGUGACGGGUAGCCGGCCUGAGAGGGUGGACGGUCACACUGGGACUGAGACACGGCCCAGACUCCUACGGGAGGCAGCAGGGGGGAAUAUUGCACAAUGGGCGAAAGCCUGAUGCAGCGACGCCGCGUGAGGGAUGGAGGCCUUCGGGUUGUGAACCUCUUUCGCCAGUGAAGCAGGCCUGCCUCGUUUGUGGGUGGGUUGACGGUAGCUGGAUAAGAAGCGCCGGCUAACUACGUG